AGCCUUGUAGCGUAAUGGAUAACGCACCAGACUUCUAGAAAGGUCAGCCAUCUGGGGAUUGCGGGUUCGACUCCCGUCAAGGUUA
Molecule: transfer RNA, 85 nt
Filed under: Cryptomonas sp.
Lineage: Eukaryota; Cryptophyceae; Cryptomonadales; Cryptomonadaceae
Description: tRNA-Arg
Rfam family: tRNA
About the family: Transfer RNA (tRNA) molecules are approximately 80 nucleotides in length.
Source: RNAcentral